GAUGAACGCUGGCGGCGUGCCUAAUACAUGCAAGUCGAGCGAACAGACGAGGAGCUUGCUCCUCUGACGUUAGCGGCGGACGGGUGAGUAACACGUGGAUAACCUACCUAUAAGACUGGGAUAACUUCGGGAAACCGGAGCUAAUACCGGAUAAUAUAUUGAACCGCAUGGUUCAAUAGUGAAAGACGGUUUUGCUGUCACUUGUAGAUGGAUCCGCGCCGCAUUAGCUAGUUGGUAAGGUAACGGCUUACCAAGGCGACGAUGCGUAGCCGACCUGAGAGGGUGAUCGGCCACACUGGAACUGGGACACGGUCCAGACUCCUACGGGAGGCAGCAGUAGGGAAUCUUCCGCAAUGGGCGAAAGCCUGACGGAGCAACGCCGCGUGAGUGAUGAAGGUCUUCGGAUCGUAAAACUCUGUUAUUAGGGAAGAACAAAUGUGUAAGUAACUAUGCACGUCUUGACGGUACCUAAUCAGAAAGCCACGGCUAACUACGUG
Molecule: ribosomal RNA, 497 nt
Filed under: uncultured bacterium
Lineage: Bacteria
Description: partial 16S ribosomal RNA
Rfam family: Bacterial small subunit ribosomal RNA
Source: RNAcentral